GGAGCCGGUUAGCCCCAGAGAUGGUGGUCUCUUUGGACACUCGUAGACACAGGUGGUGCAUGGUUGUCGUCAGCUCGUGUCGUGAGAUGUUCGGGUUAAGUCCCGCAACGAGCGCAACCCUCGUCCCAUGUUGCCAGCGGGUUAUGCCGGGGACUCAUGGGAGACUGCCGGGGUCAACUCGGAGGAAGGUGGGGAUGACGUCAAAUCAUCAUGCCCCUUAUGUCUUGGGCUUCACGCAUGCUACAAUGGCCGGUACAAAGGGCUGCGAUACCGUAAGGUGGAGCGAAUCCCAAAAAGCCGGUCUCAGUUCGGAUUGGGGUCUGCAACUCGACCCCAUGAAGUCGGAGUCGCUAGUAAUCGCAGAUCAGCAACGCUGCGGUGAAUACGUUCCCGGGCCUGUAACACACCGAA
This 411-nucleotide ribosomal RNA is filed under the name Cellulosimicrobium cellulans. RNAcentral's name for it is "bacterial SSU rRNA". It matches the Rfam family "Bacterial small subunit ribosomal RNA", at positions 985 to 1394 of the family's 1533-position model. The record is from RNAcentral. Lineage: Bacteria; Bacillati; Actinomycetota; Actinomycetes; Micrococcales; Promicromonosporaceae.